RNAcentral lists this long non-coding RNA (1301 nucleotides) under Coturnix japonica (Japanese quail). RNAcentral describes it as "lncRNA (ENSCJPG00005006006.1)". The record is from RNAcentral. Lineage: Eukaryota; Metazoa; Chordata; Aves; Galliformes; Phasianidae.
GGUGGACUGUCUCUUUGCUAAGGGAUUUCCUCAGCAGAAUACAAGUGGAAGUACAAGCCAGCUUGAAGAGAAUGGCUUGCACAGGGUGGUGUGGCCAAGAUUGGAGCCUACUGGAGAGGUGACACUCCUACACACAGUUUCUGGAGGACAGAAAAGGCACAGCAGAUAAUGCUCAGCUGCAAUAUGCUGGCAGAGCUCCUGGAGCUUCACAGCCAGGAGGAAGCAAAACCCUGGCAGCAGCUUGAGCUCACACACUGCAAAAGGCUCCUAGUGCUGUUGAACCUCAGUGCCUUGACAUUCCUGUCCAGAUGUUCCUGCUCAACACAGCAGUUGCUGUGCUCCAGAAACUGUGUGUACCAGCUCCACCUGUCCAACAGUCUUUCACUCUUUCAGGUGCAAGAGAGCACGAGUCGGCUGUGUUGACUGACCUGUAGACGCGCGUGCUGCAGGCGUUCGCACGGGGCGAGUACGAAGCUGCGGUCGCCCCGCCGGCACAUCGCGGCCGACGUUAAUCCUACACAAACACAGUCCUUCAUCCUGCUGGUCAGCAAACAACAGAGCACAACACACACCAGCAUCCAGGACUCGUGCAAAAAAAGAAGAAAAAGAAAAAGAAAUUGCUAGAUGGUGUUUCUCAGAAGCACAGAAGCACAAGUCAACAAGAAGAUAGCUGCAAUUAUUCUUGUAAGUAAUGCCUUCUGUUGUCUUGAUGUGGCCGCAGUUGAGCAAAGCAAACAAAGUCAGCCCAAUUUUCUUAAAACCAGAUUAAUCUGCAAGGCACAAAGUAAUAAAGGAAUGAUUUUUAUUAAUAAACUGAGUGUUAGCAGCUGUCAGAAGAAUGAAUGUGUCACACACAGAGGUAAACUCCCACAGCAAAACUAGAUGUAACAUUUCCUAUCUGUGUUUCAUCCUCACAGGAAAAGCCUUUCUUCGCAAGAUCUUCUGGAAGAGAGAUGGUAAGAGACAUGAAAACUGAAGGAUCCGAGCACAGCUCUCCAGUAGCUCCCUCUGUACGUAGAUGGUCGCAGAGACAAAAGGUCAAGUCCACUUUUGGAGGGAGCUUGGUGAUGUUUACCACUAACGUUACACCACCUUCAGGUCGCACAGCGCGGCGUGGCCAAGAUCUGACAGCUGACGGCGAUCGCACGGUGGAUGGCGCCCCUGCAGGGCUGCCGCGGGCCCGCAGCGAGGCUGAGCGGAGCUCUGCUGUCCUGGCGACACUAGAUGUCACUCCGACACCGCAGAACGGCCCUGGCAGAGGCAGCGCUGCGAGUUGGGGAGCCGCGGACUUGGGAGCUGCA